Molecule: long non-coding RNA, 1357 nt
Organism: Homo sapiens (human)
Lineage: Eukaryota; Metazoa; Chordata; Mammalia; Primates; Hominidae
Exons: 4
Source: RefSeq, a predicted model, not a curated record
CUGGGAAGGAGAGAGUGCACACCGCUCGCACCUAGGUCCAAGGGUGAGGGUGCCCCCCCCCCACCACCAGCACCACCCUCAGAGAGACCAGAGAGUGGGCUGCCCUGCCACUGGGAGCAGGGGCAGCAGAGCACAGGCCAGCAGCCCAGCACCCCCCAUCCCCCCACCUCCCACCUGCCCUGCAGAGCUGAGCUAGCUGGGAAAUGCCUAUUGCAGGUCAGACAUCUCGGGUGGGGUUGGACAUGCCCCUCCAGGAGACGAGUCAAGCCCUCAUCCUGGUGCUGCACUGCUGAGGAUCCCUGGUGAUCAAGCGGCAGUGUCAGGGGCUGAGGCUGGGGCAGGCUGCUCUCUCUGUCUCCGCCAGAGGCACUGUUGUGUCACAACUACCAGAGCAGUCCCUCUGAAGCCCCAAAGCCAGACCCAGAGGCCUGCCUGGGAGUGGGACUGAGAGCAGUGGCUCUGAGCAGAAGAUGGAGAUGGUCAAGGUAGGGCCCUGGGGCCAGACACCCAAGGAUUAAUUCUAUUCCUGGAGGGCCCAGUGGAGCAGGGCCAUUUGGGACGCCAGGAAGGUAGAAGGAGCACCGCUGCCAGGGCAUGUGGUGUCCCGGAAGAUGGCCAAGGCAGGCUGCCCAGAGUGGAAAGGAUGGCAACACGUGCCAGGCUGGGAUAGUGACUUGAAGAUGAGGAGCCUGGGCUGGGCGGGCCGCAGGCGGCAGGGAAGGCCCCACAUCGAGGGUUGCAAUCUUGUCAUCCAUAACUCUUAUAAGAAUGAGCCCUGGCCUGGAAGAGAGGCCAAAUGUCUAAUCAGCAGGCCUGGAACACCGCCGGUGCCAAGAAAGAGCCAAGCAGCCACUCCCUGGGGCUGGCUGCAGAUGAGGCCCUUGUGGUUUCCCCACUCACUGACUACGGGGAGGAGGGUGUGCAAGGACUUUGUCUGGGAAGAAUCUUUGCAUCUGUAGCUCAACAGGCUUCUCUCUCCAGGCCCCUGGGUUUCAAAAGACUGUGACUUCCACCUUGGUUUGCUCGGUCUGAUGAAGGAACUUUGAGCUGUGAGCUGCACUGUGAACUUUGCUGUGAGCUGCCCUGUGAUGGGAGAGGAGGCCUCCGCCUCACAGCCCUGGAGGACCUCAAUGCUGCCAACGUGUGACCAGAUGCAGAUCCUUCUCCAGUCAAGCCUGGACAUGACAUGACAGCAGCCCUGGGGACCUUGAUGCUGUGGCCUGUGCAAGACCCUGAGCCAGCCGCACCCAGAUCCCUCACCCACAGAAACUGCCAGAUUUUAAGUCUUCUGCUUGUAAGCCACUCUUUUUGCCAUAGUUUGUGUGCAGCAAUAGAUAACUGCUCUAGAGUUGUUAAA